This 265-nucleotide ribosomal RNA is filed under the name uncultured bacterium. RNAcentral's name for it is "partial 16S ribosomal RNA". It matches the Rfam family "Bacterial small subunit ribosomal RNA", at positions 89 to 353 of the family's 1533-position model. The record is from RNAcentral.
UGGCGACCGGCGCACGGGUGAGUAACACGUAUCCAACCUGCCGAUGACUCGGGGAUAGCCUUUCGAAAGAAAGAUUAAUACCCGAUGGCAUAGUUCUUCCGCAUGGUGGAACUAUUAAAGAAUUUCGGUCAUCGAUGGGGAUGCGUUCCAUUAGGUUGUUGGCGGGGUAACAGCCCACCAAGCCUUCGAUGGAUAGGGGUUCUGAGAGGAAGGUCCCCCACAUUGGAACUGAGACACGGUCCAGACUCCUACGGGAGGCAGCAUG